Molecule: ribosomal RNA, 1373 nt
Filed under: uncultured bacterium
Lineage: Bacteria
Description: bacterial SSU rRNA
Rfam family: Bacterial small subunit ribosomal RNA
Source: RNAcentral
GAUGAACGCUGGCGGCGUGCCUAAUACAUGCAAGUCGAGCGAACGGACGAGAAGCUUGCUUCUCUGAUGUUAGCGGCGGACGGGUGAGUAACACGUGGAUAACCUACCUAUAAGACUGGGAUAACUUCGGGAAACCGGAGCUAAUACCGGAUGAUAUUUUGAACCGCAUGGUUCAGAAGUGAAAGACGGUCUUGCUGUCACUUAUAGAUGGAUCCGCGCUGCAUUAGCUAGUUGGUAAGGUAACGGCUUACCAAGGCAACGAUGCAUAGCCGACCUGAGAGGGUGAUCGGCCACACUGGAACUGAGACACGGUCCAGACUCCUACGGGAGGCAGCAGUAGGGAAUCUUCCGCAAUGGGCGAAAGCCUGACGGAGCAACGCCGCGUGAGUGAUGAAGGUCUUCGGAUCGUAAAACUCUGUUAUUAGGGAAGAACAUAUGUGUAAGUAACUGUGCACAUCUUGACGGUACCUAAUCAGAAAGCCACGGCUAACUACGUGCCAGCAGCCGCGGUAAUACGUAGGUGGCAAGCGUUAUCCGGAAUUAUUGGGCGUAAAGCGCGCGUAGGCGGUUUUUUAAGUCUGAUGUGAAAGCCCACGGCUCAACCCGUGGAGGGUCAUUGGAAACUGGAAAACUUGAGUGCAGAAGAGGAAAGUGGAAUUCCAUGUGUAGCGGUGAAAUGCGCAGAGAUAUGGAGGAACACCAGUGGCGAAGGCGACUUUCUGGUCUGUAACUGACGCUGAUGUGCGAAAGCGUGGGGAUCAAACAGGAUUAGAUACCCUGGUAGUCCACGCCGUAAACGAUGAGUGCUAAGUGUUAGGGGGUUUCCGCCCCUUAGUGCUGCAGCUAACGCAUUAAGCACUCCGCCUGGGGAGUACGACCGCAAGGUUGAAACUCAAAGGAAUUGACGGGGACCCGCACAAGCGGUGGAGCAUGUGGUUUAAUUCGAAGCAACGCGAAGAACCUUACCAAAUCUUGACAUCCUUUGACAACUCUAGAGAUAGAGCCUUCCCCUUCGGGGGACAAAGUGACAGGUGGUGCAUGGUUGUCGUCAGCUCGUGUCGUGAGAUGUUGGGUUAAGUCCCGCAACGAGCGCAACCCUUAAGCUUAGUUGCCAUCAUUAAGUUGGGCACUCUAAGUUGACUGCCGGUGACAAACCGGAGGAAGGUGGGGAUGACGUCAAAUCAUCAUGCCCCUUAUGAUUUGGGCUACACACGUGCUACAAUGGACAAUACAAAGGGCAGCGAAACCGCGAGGUCAAGCAAAUCCCAUAAAGUUGUUCUCAGUUCGGAUUGUAGUCUGCAACUCGACUACAUGAAGCUGGAAUCGCUAGUAAUCGUAGAUCAGCAUGCUACGGUGAAUACGUUCCCGGGUCU